This 327-nucleotide ribosomal RNA is filed under the name uncultured eukaryote. Its description in RNAcentral is "partial 18S ribosomal RNA". It matches the Rfam family "Eukaryotic small subunit ribosomal RNA", at positions 1470 to 1796 of the family's 1831-position model. The record is from RNAcentral.
CCCUUAGAUGUUCUGGGCCGCACACGCGCUACACUGAAGGAGGCAGCGUGUACUCCUGGAUCGAAAGAUUUGGGUAACCCGCGAAUCUCCUUCGUGCUAGGGAUUGAGGUUUGCAAUUAUCCUUCAUGAACGAGGAAUUCCCAGUAAGUGCAAGUCAUAAGCUUGCGCUGACUACGUCCCUGUCCUUUGUACACACCGCCCGUCGCUACUACCGAUUGAAUGAUUUAGUGAGGACUUCGGACUGGGACCGAUGCGGCUUUCGGGCUGCGUCGGUAUUCUGGAAAGAUGUCCAAACUGUAUCAUUUAGAGGAAGUAAAANUCGUANCA